UCUUCCUUUGUACUUAUCAAG
Molecule: non-coding RNA, 21 nt
Filed under: Caenorhabditis elegans
Lineage: Eukaryota; Metazoa; Nematoda; Chromadorea; Rhabditida; Rhabditidae
Source: RNAcentral